UUCGUAGGUGGUGCGGCAAGUUGGAAGUGAAAUCUCUGGGCUUAACCCAGAGGCUGCUUUCAAAACUGCCGCGCUCGAGUGCGAGAGAGGUCAGUGGAAUUGCAGGUGUAGCGGUGAAAUGCGUAGAUAUCUGCAGGAACACCCGUGGCGAAGGCGGCUGACUGGAUCGCAACUGACACUGAGGAACGAAAGCUAGGGGAGCAAAACAGGAUUAGAUACCCUGGUAGUCCUAGCCCUAAACCAUCAGAACUUGGGGUGGCCCGCGUAGGCGGGUCGUCCCGUAGCUAACGCGUUAAGUUCUGCGCCUGGGGAGUACGGUCGCAAGACUGAA
This 331-nucleotide ribosomal RNA is filed under the name uncultured bacterium. Its description in RNAcentral is "bacterial SSU rRNA". It matches the Rfam family "Bacterial small subunit ribosomal RNA", at positions 568 to 898 of the family's 1533-position model. The record is from RNAcentral.